CCUACGGGGGGCAGCAGUGAGGAAUAUUGGUCAAUGGACGAGAGUCUGAACCAGCCAAGUAGCGUGAAGGAUGACUGCCCUAUGGGUUGUAAACUUCUUUUAUAAAGGAAUAAAACGAGGCACGUGUGCCUUUUUGCAUGUACUUUAUGAAUAAGGAUCGGCUAACUCCGUGCCAGCAGCCGCGGUAAUACGGAGGAUCCGAGCGUUAUCCGGAUUUAUUGGGUUUAAAGGGAGCGUAGAUGGGUUGUUAAGUCAGUUGUGAAAGUUUGCGGCUCAACCGUAAAAUUGCAAUUGAUACUGGCAGUCGUGAGUACAGUUGAGGUAGGCGGAAUGCGUGGUGUAGCGGUGAAAUGCUUAGAUAUCACGAAGAACCCCAAUUGCGAAGGCAGCUUACUAAACUGUGACUGACAUUGAUGCUCGAAAGUGUGGGUAUCAAACAGGAUUAGAUACCCUGGUAGUC
This 460-nucleotide ribosomal RNA is filed under the name uncultured bacterium. Its description in RNAcentral is "partial 16S ribosomal RNA". It matches the Rfam family "Bacterial small subunit ribosomal RNA", at positions 338 to 795 of the family's 1533-position model. The record is from RNAcentral.